UGGGAGGGCUGCUACCAGACUCAUUUAAUACCGGAGUCACUGCAGAAGAAGGUGUCUGGCUUAAGGGCUGAAUAGUGUUUCCCGCCAGUUGCAAAGUAGUCCACGUCGUCUGUGUGUUUCCAGCAGAGGAAAUUCGGGAGAACUUUGAUCACUUAGACACGUGUGCACGGAACGAUGUUGGUGAGGUUCAGGCCCAAUGGGAACUGCGAUCAGUGGGCCGUUGGUGGCACCAAGCACGCUCGAUUCGCUUUCAGAGGUGGAAAGCUCGAGAAUAUUUUGAGCAGGAAUGGUAGCAGGAAGACAAAGAGGAACAGGCUGGUUGGCAGCCAAUGCAGAAACUGUGGUCUGAUGCCAUGGCUUGUUUUCAGAAGGGUAAACUCCAGAAAUAGACACAGGAGUCACAAGAUUGCAAGUCCUCUGUACUGGCACCACAUUGGCGGUCUGCUUUUGUAAAUUAUGACCAACAUUAAAGGUUAUCCCCUGAACAGCUGUUCCCUGGCUAUUUCCACAAGGCUGACUCCCGUUGGAAUAAACAAUGAUAUUUUUUUGAACCUGAUCACUGGGAAUAACAACAGAGACCUUUGAGUUUUUAAGAUUUCCUUUCCAGUGGAUUGUAGGGUCAUCAUAUAGGCAUAUGUCAUUUGCUUUCAGUAAUUCAAUAUAUCGGCCAUUUUCUUUUUGAAUUUCUUCCAAUUGUUUACGUAGCUUUUUAAUUUCUUCAGCUACAAUAUUAAAAAUAAAAAUGAAACAAUUACCUGGUAGUGUCAGUACUUACAGUAACUUAAGAAAAAACUGUGUGCUAACUACCAAAGUCUAAUUCUAGCAUUUCGAAAUACCUCAUCUGAGAAUCUUCAGUUCUUUUCUAAUGCAAGUUCUUUCUCCUUUUUACAUUGGUGUAACAAGCCUCUAUCCUAUCCUUUUAAAAAUAAAUAUCUUUAAAAGUAAGGUCAGAAAUUACCCAUAAUGUAGAAAUCUCAAAAUUCCCAAUUCAAAAAUUCCCAAUGGGGCAGCUACCAAGGUGAAAGAAGGGAAGGCACACUGAUAUCAUGGUCACAUGCUAGGAAAAUAACACUGAAUAUCAAUAUAAUAGCAUUUACAUGCUAUAACAGCUAACAUUACUUGUGGUGGUAAUAGUCAGUCUCUUUUAUAAAUGGCUUUAAACUCACUUCUAUUUUACUCUUUGAAAUGCCAGAGACAGUGAAACAGGUUGAAGGUAAAGUAGUAAGCACCAAAGAAAGCAUCAAUAACGGAACUUCAAUCUCCCUUGACAGGGCCAAUGGACAUAUGCGACUGUCACAGCCCUACUCUUUUCUAAGGGAGAGAACUUCAUCCAUGGAUGCUACUACUGGGGCAGCCUUCGCUGUUGGUAUUUAUGCUCUGUGACCCCAGACAUCCCACCUGUCUUGCCACAAUGGUAGAUCUCUCCCCUCCCCAUCCACCAAAGGCAGCCAAUCUUCAAAGCCAAUGCCCUGUGAAGUGGCCUGAAAUAAAAAGUUCUGUUCUGAAAAGGAUGAGCUGAGACUAAUGGAUUCUUUUUCUCAGACAUUUAAAAUAAGAGACACAGAAGAAUGAUGCCAAUGUGCCAUGGGCAUCAGAAGUUAAGGGACAAUUUUUAUGGACCAAAUAAUAAUGAUUGUCCUCACUUAUUACACACUUACUACAUGCCUGGCACUUUUCAUUCAUUGUCUCAUUUCAUAAUAAUAAUAACAAUGAUGAUGGUAAUUACUAUAUGCCAACUUUACUCAAAGUACUUUACCUGCAUUAUUUCUUUUAAUCCUCAUAACAACCAUGAGAUGGGAACUACCUACUCUCAUCAGUAUUUUAAGAUGUGAGAAACAGACUCAGAGUAAUUACAUAAAUUUGUUUAAAGUCAACCAGACACGUGCUGUGAUUAUCUUCAUUUUAAGAUGGGGAAACUGAGAUCGGAGAGGUGAAGUAAAUAGCCACAGGUACUGAGUGCGUAAGUGAAGAUGAAACUCAACCCAGGUGGGCCUGAUUCCCAAGGCCGCUGGGAAUCAGGCUCAGACUAUGGCCCAGCCUGUCUUAUGGACAGAGGAUAUGUGGGAAGUUUCUGGGAGGAGAAAAGAGAAGAGAGUAGAUGCACAAAAAAGAGCCAAAGAAAGGAUGGUGACAGAGAUGACAAUGUAGUGAGACUUAAGCUGCCUCAGGUGCUGCCCCAAGCCCUGGCCUACCUGUUCAGCCUUUCCUGAGCCCUAUGCAACUUAUAUUUUUCCAAAACAUUCCCUUUUCCCUAAUGUAACUCAACUGCCUCAGCCUCUGGGGUGUGAAACCAAAGAAGCUCUACUUAGAAAAGUCUACACAUCAUUCCAGUCUUAAUAUCUCUUCUAUGGGAUGCCUCAGAGUGCUUACCAAACAUGUAUGACGAAUCUAACUACCUAACAGCAUCAUAAAACAGGGCCUGGACUGUAAAAGACAGCUGACAUGGGGGAGGGGGUAAGCUGUCAUCUAACUUAAGGCAAGCAAAGAGAAUUCAGAAUGCUGACCUUCUGGAUAUACAAUAAAAGUAGCCCAACACUGCCCCCACCUCAGCAAAUUCUACCUUUGUUCCUCUCCUUUUAAGGUGACCUACUGAGUUGUCCCAGGAAAUUCUUUCUCUGUUUUUGUCAGAGCCAUAAAUAAAGGACAAUUCAAACUGCCUACCAUUCUGAGCUUUUCACUUGCCUGGCAUUUUUCUUUUCAGCUCUUACAAGGAAAUCUCUCUAGUGCAAAUGGAAAAACAGAACUUAUAUAGCAUAAAAAUGUCACUUCUAAUUAAAAAUCAAAUUUCAGUAUACCUGAAACUAAUAUAACAUUAUGUAUUAACUGCACUAGAAUUAAAAUAAAAACUUAUUUUUUAACGUAAUUAUCUAAAGAAUAAUAAUAAAAAUCAAAUUUCAUUAAAUGAUCAGGCAGUCUGAUACACACAUUACAUGCAGUAUAAACAAUUAUGAACGGAAUGUUUUGACCUUUUGAGUUAAGUCACAGUUAAAUCUUGGCCCAGGCAGGUCUUUGUUUUGUUUUUAAGUUACACUGAGCAGGACUCUCCCCUAUAUCCUCUCACGGGAUUCCCCUAGCUGGAAGAUCCAAGUGGAAUAAAAGCGACCCAGCAUUAUUUGUCUCAUGAGCUCAGCAAAUAUGAAGUGCACGGAAGAGUCCAAAAUCAAAAUUAUGUAUGCCUGCAAGAUUAGAGUUGCUCACAGAAGAGGGAAAAGAGGUAAACUAAGAUGAAUUUAUUUGCAACACUAUUCUCUGGCCCACCGAAUGCAUGGACAAUCUUAACAAUGUUUCUGGUCAAAAAAAGUCUCUGUAUCCUCAUAUAAGUUGCCCUGUGACACGAAGACCUGAACACUGAAAAAACAACAAAAAUGAAGAAUCUUCAAAUCUUUACCUUGUUCAUUGUUUCCUCCAUUAAGCAGGAGUUCAUCAUUUUGCCUUUUCAGUUCUGUUAUAUAUUUAAAGGCUUGGUCCAGGAUCAUAUUCUUGCUCUGCCAAAGAGAAUUAACCACUUAAAAGUUUCACUGAAGAGUAAGAACUUGCCAGAAGAAACUUAAAGCUUUGGUUUUAUCACAUAUAUGUGAUAUGUGUCUUUUCAAAAUUUAAAAUGAACACCAUAUUCAAAUGCUUCUGCUGUUCAUUUUUCAUUUACUAAGUAUUUAAAUUUGAACAGCCACUAUGCGUCAGGCUCUGUUCUAGGCACUGGGGAUGUAAUAAACAAAACGGAGAAAAUUCCUGACCUUCAGGAGUAUUUUCCAUACAUACAGUUGGGUAGAGCUAAGUGCUAGGAAGAGAAAAUAAAACAGAGUAAAUAGGGGCCCAGAGAGAUGGCAAAGGUCACUCUGUCCUAUGAACUGAAUGUUUGUGUCCCCCUAUAAUUCAUGUUGAAACCCUGAUCCCUGAUAUGAUGGUAGUUGGAGGUGGGCCUCUGGGAGGUAAUUAGGUCAUGAGCGUGUAUCCCUCAUGAAUGACAUCAGUGCCCUUAGAAGAAAAGACAUGAGAGAGGUGACUGCACUCCCUGUCACACAAGGACAUAAUCAGGAAGAGCAGACACCAGGAACCAAACCAGCUGGCACCUCUAUCUUGGACUUCCCAGCCUCCAGAACCAUGAGAAAUAAAUUUCUGUUGUUUAAAUCACUCAGUCUAUAGUAUUUUUCUUAUAGGAGCCCAAACUAAGGCACUGUAUUGUAAUCUAUCUUGCAUGGGAAGGCUGGAGAAGGCCUCUCUGUGAGGCAAAGCAAAAACCUGAAGGAAGUAAACCCCGUGGAUAUCUGGAGGAAGAGGGUCCAGGUAGCAGGAUCUGCAAGGACAAGGCCCUUAGGCAGGGCUGUGUUGGCACACUGGAGGGGCCCUGGUGAGGUGAGCAGAACUAAAGUAUAUAGGGGAAGAGUGGGAGGAGAAGAGGCUGGAGAGGGCCUUCAAGGCCCUGUAAGGAUUCUAGACUUUAAUAUUGUUUGUAUCCUAUGAACAAUUGUUAA
This is a long non-coding RNA of Acinonyx jubatus (cheetah), 4472 nucleotides long. RefSeq lists it as uncharacterized. The transcript is spliced from 2 exons. Lineage: Eukaryota; Metazoa; Chordata; Mammalia; Carnivora; Felidae. The record is from RefSeq and is a predicted model, not a curated record.